CAGAUAUUGAACGACCCUUGCAUUCCUGUAAUGAAUCUUCCUUGAUCAUGACACCACUCCUGCUCUCACCUUGUUGGUUGGCCGUUCUUUCAGGAAUUCUCUGUUGUACUCUCCAUUGCAGUGUAUGGUACUAUAUAAGAAUGGACAGAUAGAUCACUAUGCUACUGUACGCAAACAUCAGACUAAAGAAGAGAUCUCAACAUGAAUGACUAUUUUGCCUAAAUUUAUACUCACAGACUUGGAGUAAGAUGGAGGUAUGAAAUGAACAUGAG
This is a long non-coding RNA of Felis catus (domestic cat), 272 nucleotides long. RefSeq lists it as uncharacterized. Lineage: Eukaryota; Metazoa; Chordata; Mammalia; Carnivora; Felidae. The record is from RefSeq and is a predicted model, not a curated record. The transcript has 4 exons.